Molecule: ribosomal RNA, 494 nt
Filed under: uncultured bacterium
Lineage: Bacteria
Description: partial 16S ribosomal RNA
Rfam family: Bacterial small subunit ribosomal RNA
Source: RNAcentral
AUUGAACGCUGGCGGAAUGCUUUACACAUGCAAGUCGAACGGUAGAGGGGCAACCCUUGAGAGUGGCGAACGGGUGAGUAAUGUAUCGGAACAUGCCCAGUCGUGGGGGAUAACGUAGCGAAAGUUACGCUAAUACCGCAUACGAUCUAUGGAUGAAAGCGGGGGGUCGCAGGACCUCGCGCGAUUGGAGUGGCUGAUAUCAGAUUAGGUAGUUGGUGGGGUAAAGGCCUACCAAGCCGACGAUCUGUAGCUGGUCUGAGAGGACGACCAGCCACACUGGGACUGAGACACGGCCCAGAAUCCUACGGGAGGCAGCAGUGGGGAAUUUUGGACAAUGGGCGAAAGCCUGAUCCAGCCAUUCCGCGUGCAGGAAGAAGGCCUUCGGGUUGUAAACUGCUUUUGUACGGAACGAAACGCGCUGUGCUAAUACCACGGCGUAAUGACGGUACCGUAAGAAUAAGCACCGGCUAACUACGUGCCAGCCGCCGCCGUAA